RNAcentral lists this ribosomal RNA (492 nucleotides) under uncultured bacterium. Its description in RNAcentral is "bacterial SSU rRNA". It matches the Rfam family "Bacterial small subunit ribosomal RNA", at positions 28 to 507 of the family's 1533-position model. The record is from RNAcentral.
GAUGAACGCUAGCUACAGGCUUAACACAUGCAAGUCGAGGGGAAACGACAUCGAAAGCUUGCUUUUGAUGGGCGUCGACCGGCGCACGGGUGAGUAACGCGUAUCCAACCUGCCCAUCACUUGGGGAUAACCUUGCGAAAGUAAGACUAAUACCCGAUGAUAUCCCUAGACGACAUCUGAAAGGGAUUAAAGAUUUAUCGGUGAUGGAUGGGGAUGCGUCUGAUUAGCUUGUUGGCGGGGUAACGGCCCACCAAGGCGACGAUCAGUAGGGGUUCUGAGAGGAAGGUCCCCCACAUUGGAACUGAGACACGGUCCAAACUCCUACGGGAGGCAGCAGUGAGGAAUAUUGGUCAAUGGACGAGAGUCUGAACCAGCCAAGUAGCGUGCAGGAUGACGGCCCUAUGGGUUGUAAACUGCUUUUAUAAGGGAAUAAAGUUAGUCUCGUGAGACUUUUUGCAUGUACCUUAUGAAUAAGGACCGGCUAAUUCCGUG